Molecule: ribosomal RNA, 460 nt
Filed under: uncultured bacterium
Lineage: Bacteria
Description: partial 16S ribosomal RNA
Rfam family: Bacterial small subunit ribosomal RNA
Source: RNAcentral
CCUACGGGAGGCAGCAGUGAGGAAUAUUGGUCAAUGGACGCAAGUCUGAACCAGCCAUGCCGCGUGCAGGAAGACGGCUCUAUGAGUUGUAAACUGCUUUUGUACGAGGGUAAACGCAGAUACGCGUAUCUGUCUGAAAGCAUCGUACGAAUAAGGAUCGGCUAACUCCGUGCCAGCAGCCGCGGUAAUACGGAGGAGUCAAGCGUUAUCCGGAUUUAUUGGGUGUAAAGGGUGCGUAGGCGGUCGGAUAAGUUAGAGGUGAAAUCCCGAGGCUCAACUUCGGAAUUGCCUCUGAUACUGGUCGACUAGAGAGUGGGUGCGGUAAGCGGAAUGUAUGGUGUAGCGGUGAAAUGCGUAGAGAUCAUACAGAACACCGGUGGCGAAGGCAGCUUACCAAGCUACUUCUGACGUUGAGGCACGAAAGCGUGGGGAGCAAACAGGAUUAGAUACCCGAGUAGUC